Clupea harengus (Atlantic herring) is the source of this 1080-nucleotide long non-coding RNA. RefSeq lists it as uncharacterized. The record is from RefSeq and is a predicted model, not a curated record. The transcript is spliced from 2 exons. NCBI's taxonomy places the organism in Eukaryota, Metazoa, Chordata, Actinopteri, Clupeiformes, Clupeidae.
AUAUAUAUAUAUGUAUAUGUGUAUAUAUAUAUACACACACACACACACACACAAACACAUUAGUGUGAAUAACAGGUUUGUAGCAAUCGAGCUACAUAUUUGUUUAAUAGGUAAUUGAUUUUAUUAUAUAAUUUGAUCCUUCUUGUCUAGCUUUACAAUCGAACCAAAUGAAACCUUCUAAUAACACUAACAUAGAUCUUCACUGCUCACCUGGCUCAGAUGGAAUCUCAUAACAUAACAAAAAGCAUUUAAUUUCUCCAUUUAAUGAGGUUGGUGUGGAGGCAAUGUUAGCAUGGUAAAAGAAUAGCAUAAUCUUUCUGUUGAAUCAUUUAUAUGGGGCAUUGACUAACAGAUGUGUUUGGUAUUCCUGAAUGAAACUGGAUUAUUGCACCUGAAGUCUCAAAGACAUUUUAACACUUAAUUGAAAACCUCACGAAGGCUGUAGAGUAGAGUGCUAGAGUCCUCACCUUUUUGUUGGAAUUGCUAUGCAAGUAGGGUUGGAUAUGGUGUAUAGUUUUUGUAAUAUGGCAUUUUUAAUAUUGGUUUACAAUUGAUUUUGGUCACGUUAUUUAAAUCCGUAUAUUUGGCAAUUGUCGCAGAUGUUAACACUUCUACCAUACUGUACUGUACCGGUUAGGGUUCCAUCCACCAGACUUUCUUUUUGUUUGUUUUUGUUCCUUGUUGAUUUCCUUUUUUUUGUGUGUCAAACGAUGCAUCACUCUCUGGGAGAGCAGCUUAGCGAAACGUGUGUGUGCUUUUCGCUCCUUAUGUGAAUCGUCAAGACGUCCGGAGGUCUUAUAUAUUCGCUCCUUAUGUGAAUCGUCAAGAUGUCCAGAGGUCUUAUAUAUUCGCUCCUUAUGUGAAUCGUCAAGAUGUCCGGAGGUCUUAUAUAUUCGCUCCUUAUGUGAAUCGUCAAGACGUCCAGAGGUCUUAUAACUUUGUGGCUUCUGGAUGUUCUUCACCCCACCCUUUUCUAAAGAAUGUGAGGGAAAGACUGGUGGAGGGAAGAGGGGGGGGGGAUUUUGGAAUACAUUCAAGAGAAAUGCGAUUAAACUAAUGUACUAUUGUUUAUACUCUUAA